GAGUAAAGAUUUCGGUCGCUUUGGGAGGAGCUCGCUUACUAUCAGCUUGUUGGUAGGGUAAUGGCCUACCAAGGCUAUGACGGUUAGGGGGUGUGAGAGCAUGACCCCCAGCAUUGGCACUGAAACACUGGCCAAACACCUACGGGUGGCUGCAGUCGAGAAUCUUCCACAAUGGGGGAAACCCUGAUGGAGCGAUGCUGCGUGCGGGAUGAAGGCCUUCGGGUUGUAAACCGCUUUUGUAGGGGACGAAAUUUUUGACGGUACCCUUUCGAAUAAGAGGUUGCUAACUCUGUGCCAGCAGCAGCGGUAAUACAGAGACCUCAAGCGUUAUCCGGAUUUACUGGGCGUAAAAGCGUCUGUAGGGGGUUUAUUAAGUUCCAAGUAAAAUUUCAAGGCUCAACUUUGAAUUCGCUUGGAAAACUAAUAAACUGGAGUCUAGCAGAGGUGCAUGGAACUUGUGGUGUAGGAGUGAAAUCCGUUGAUAUCACAAGGAACACCAAAGGCGAAGGCAUUGCACUGGGCUAGCACUGACCCUGAGAGACGAAAGCGUGGGGAGCAAAACGGAUUAGAUACCCGUGUAGUCCACGCCCUAAACGAUGAAUGCUAAAUGUUCGGGGAUUCGACCCCCUGGGUGUUACAGCUAACGCGUUAAGCAUUCCGCCUGGGAAGUACGGCCGCAAGGCUAAAACUCAAAGGAAUAGACGGGGAUCCGCACAAGCGGUGGAGCGUCUGGUUUAAUUCGACAGUAAGCGUGGUACCUCACCAGGGUUUGACAUCCCUUGACAGCCUUGGAAACAAGGUUUCCUUCGGGCAAGGUGACAGGUGCUGCAUGGCCGUCGUCAGUUCGUGCCGUGAGGUGUUCCGUUAAGUCGGGAAACGAACGAAACCCCUAUUGCAUGUUACAAUUUCUCAUGCAAGACUGCCCGGAUAUACUGGGAGGAAGGUGGGGAUGACGUCAGAUCUGCAUGGUCCUUAUACCCUGGGCGACACAGGCGCUACAAUGGCAGAGACAAAGGGUUGCAAAACCGCAAGGUGAAGCUAAUCCCAAAAACUUUGUCUAAGUUCGGAUUGAAGGCUGCAAUUCGCCUUCAUGAAGCUGGAAUCGCUAGUAAUCGUGAAUCAGCCACGUCACGGUGAAUAUGUUCCCGGAUCUUGUACUCACCGCCCGUCACACCAAGAGAGU
Molecule: ribosomal RNA, 1183 nt
Filed under: uncultured organism
Description: bacterial SSU rRNA
Rfam family: Bacterial small subunit ribosomal RNA
Source: RNAcentral